GGUCACCGCUAUUGGGAUUCGAUUAAGCCAUGCGAGUCGAGAGGGUUCGGCCCUCGGCAGACGGCUCAGUAACACGUGGAUAAUCUGCCCUUAGGUGGAGGAUAACCUCGGGAAACUGAGAAUAAUACUCCAUAGAUCUAGGAGGCUGGAAUGCGCCUAGAUUGAAAGUUCCGGCGCCUAAGGAUGAGUCUGCGGACUAUCAGGUUGUAGUCAGGGUAAAGGCCUGACUAGCCUACGACGGAUACGGGUUGUGAGAGCAAUAACCCGGAGACGAUAUCUGAGACACGAUAUCGGGCCCUACGGGGCGCAGCAGGCGCGAAAACUUCACACUGUGCGAAAGCACGAUGAGGGAAUCCCAAGUGCUUGCACGUAAGUGUAAGCUGUUUCUUUGUUUAAAAAGCAAGGAGAGGAAGGGCUGGGUAAGACGGGUGCCAGCCGCCGCGGUAAUACCUGCAGCUCAAGUGGUGACCGCUAUUAUUGGGCCUAAAACGUUCGUAGCCGGCUGAGUAAAUGCUUGGGUAAAUCGUGUAGCUUAACUAUACGAAUUCCGGGUAGACUGCUUAGCUUGAGACCGGGAGAAGCUAGAGGUACUCCUGGGGUAGAGGUGAAA
Molecule: ribosomal RNA, 610 nt
Filed under: uncultured archaeon
Lineage: Archaea
Description: bacterial SSU rRNA
Rfam family: Archaeal small subunit ribosomal RNA
Source: RNAcentral